This 87-nucleotide transfer RNA is filed under the name Clostridium sp. 'deep sea'. RNAcentral's name for it is "tRNA-Leu". It matches the Rfam family "tRNA". Rfam says of the family: Transfer RNA (tRNA) molecules are approximately 80 nucleotides in length. Their secondary structure includes four short double-helical elements and three loops (D, anti-codon, and T loops). Further hydrogen bonds mediate the characteristic L-shaped molecular structure. tRNAs have two regions of fundamental functional importance: the anti-codon, which is responsible for specific mRNA codon recognition, and the 3' end, to which the tRNAs corresponding amino acid is attached (by aminoacyl-tRNA synthetases). tRNAs cope with the degeneracy of the genetic code in two manners: having more than one tRNA (with a specific anti-codon) for a particular amino acid; and 'wobble' base-pairing, i.e. permitting non-standard base-pairing at the 3rd anti-codon position. Lineage: Bacteria; Bacillati; Bacillota; Clostridia; Eubacteriales; Clostridiaceae. The record is from RNAcentral.
GCCGAAGUGGUGAAAUUGGCAGACACGCUGUGUUCAGGGCGCAGUGAGCGUAGGCUCGUGUGGGUUCGAGUCCCAUCUUCGGCACCA